CUGUGACCUGGUUCAAGUAAUCCAGGAUAGGCUGUAUCCAUUCUAAUUGGCCUAUUCUUGGUUACUUGCACUGGGAGGCAA
Non-coding RNA from Struthio camelus australis, 81 nucleotides. Lineage: Eukaryota; Metazoa; Chordata; Aves; Struthioniformes; Struthionidae. The record is from Rfam.